This 433-nucleotide ribosomal RNA is filed under the name uncultured bacterium. Its description in RNAcentral is "partial 16S ribosomal RNA". It matches the Rfam family "Bacterial small subunit ribosomal RNA", at positions 29 to 507 of the family's 1533-position model. The record is from RNAcentral.
AACGAACGCUGGCGGCAGGCUUAACACAUGCAAGUCGAACGGACACAUCGGGGUGAGUGGCAGACGGGUGAGUAACGCGUGGGAAGCUACCCUUGUCUACGGGAUAGCUCCGGGAAAGGGGAAUUAAUACGGAAAAGGUCCUGAGGGAGGAAGAUUGUGCGUGGAAGGAUGAGCCGGCGUUGGAUUAGCUAGUUGGUGGGGUAAAGGCCUACCAAGGCGACGAGCCAUAGCUGGUCUAAGAGGAUGAUCAGCCACAUUGGGACUGAGGCACGGCUCAGACUCCUACGGGAGGCAGCAGUAGGGAGUAGUAGACAAGGGGCGCAAGUCUAAACCGGCCAUGCCGUGUAAAGUAUGAAGGCCCGAGAGUUGGAAAGCUCUGUCAGUGGGGACGAUAAUGACGGUACCCACAGAAGAAGGCCCCGCUAACUUCGUG